Molecule: RNA transcript, 7141 nt
Organism: Carya illinoinensis
Lineage: Eukaryota; Viridiplantae; Streptophyta; Magnoliopsida; Fagales; Juglandaceae
Gene name: serine/threonine-protein kinase rio1-like
Exons: 7
Source: RefSeq, a predicted model, not a curated record
GAGGAUCUGUCCGUGAAUGAAGUUGAAACGGAAGUGAAGUGUGUGCAGGAAGUGAAGUGAAGUGAACCUGUAAGAAGAAUGGAGACAACGACGUCGUACGUAGUGCGUGAGGGGCUUUCAAGCUUGGAAGAAAAGGCGUCGUGUGAAGAUCCCUUUGAUAAAGCUAUGCGUUUUGUCCUUUAAUUAAACACAGCGUUUGGGGUCAUGUCCAAACGGUGUGUUUUAUACAAACUGCCUUUUCCCUUUCUGUUUUUACAUUACACUUGUCGCUGUUUUAAUGGUUCUGUUAGUCAUGGGCUACGUCCAUAUAGGAAGGGAAAAACAACACACAAAGGCAUCUGAAAUUUGUAAGAACUUGCUAUUGCAAUUGGAGGUUGGGAGCCCUCGAAGUACUCCCGUAGCCAUUUUCUGAGAGUUUAAAUUCUUGCAUGCAUUUUAUCAAACAGCUUAAGUGCACUAGGCUGAACCAUUGCUUCAAGCCGCCCCUUGACUCUGCAUCUUCUUCCUGAUUACACAGAUACAAUCAACCAUCAGUUAACAGGCUACUGAGCAGUUAAUCUGAUGCAAAUGCAGAGCACGUUUCUCAGACGGAAACUGCUCCUUGAAUCGUGGAGGAUGGAGACUUAGUCGGCUGUUUACAAUUCUUAUCUUUUAUUUUCAAAAUUCUGUUGCUUAGUUGUUAAUUCUUUCCGAAUUUAUUUCCUUAAGAUUAUGUUGCAAUUCUUUUCUAGUUUAUUUCCUGAAUUAUAGCAUGAUAUGUAAUCCUUUAAAUAUGGUAGUGAUGGAAAGGAAAAGGCAGUUGCCGAUUUUAUUGAAUGAAGAAUUUGAGUCUGGAUUCCAUUAACAGAGUUAUUCUAUUUGUAUUUCCCUCUUGGACGUCGACGUGAGGAAAAGCAGGUUGGGCUGCACCUCGUCUUAAGGAUGCUGUUUUAUCUCAUGACAGGUUACGUGAAUAUGUGGAGAUGAUUAUUGUAAUGCGGACACUAUAUCAGAAGUAUAAACUGGUGCAUGUAGACCUCAGGGAGUAUAAUAUACUUUAUUUUGAGGGUCACUUAUAUGUUAUAGAUGCCUCUCAAUCAGUUGGGAUGAUUUUCUACCUUGUUUUGUACCAAGCUGUACAGUUUCUACAAAAAAGAUUUUGUGAUGAAAGGUUGUUAAGAGAUGAAGUUAUCUCCUCGAAAUUACAAAACUACAGAUUUUGUGAUGAAAGUUUGUUAAGAGAUGAAGUUAUCUCCUCGAAGUUACAAAACUACAGGUUUGAUAUAUAUAUAUCAUUUAUUGCUUUUAUUCAAUAUAUGUUUUGUAAAAAUAUUUGUAUUGCUUUUUUCGCAUUCCCUUUUCCUACUAUAAUUGGGGGUUUAUCUUGCAAAGAUCUUAAAUACAUAAACUAUGUUGUCCCUUAUUUGUUAUUUGAGAGAUAGACUGAAUAAUUAGAGAGACAUAGGCACAUGGGCUUUUAGUAUCAUUUUGGAAAGCAUCCACGUUUCACUGGAGUUGUUACAUGCCCAUGACCUCGCAUGGAGCGGGAAGGGGGCCUAAUGCCGAGGUGGGUGCCCCUAUCUUGAUACCAAGGGCAAAUUGGUGCCACCAUCAUCAAACCAUCCCGUUCAACACGACAUUUUGUUUUGUGAAAAAGUCCAAACAAAAUCCAAACAAAAACCAGCAAUCUUACAUAUCCAAACAAACAAGCGUACAUAUAAGAAAAAUAUCACAAAUCCAACGAAAAAUAAAACAAACUCACAAAAUUAGAGAUAAAACGAACCAAAGAAAGAAAAUCAAGUAAUAAUCGUGCACAAACCCCGAGAUCGUGGUAUUGGGUAGGUGAUCUCUACAGCAGAUCGUCGUCAUAGUAGAAUUUUAAAGUUGCAGACUCAUCACUCAUAGUCACAGUGAGUCUUUAGCAUAUAGUCCUAUAAAGAAAAUUGUUUUAUUAACUCGUAGAAGCCCAUGGCCAAAUUGUGGUCUUACUGUCGUAGAAUGCGGUCUGGCCAUGAGUACCCAUGAUAAUGGAGUGAAUAGACGAGCGGAUUUAAAAGCGGAGGAGAGGAAAGGAAAUUGGGAGGAGAAGAAAAAAGAAAGAAGACAGGAUGGUGGCCAUUGAAGUGUGAAAGUUUGAAACGAAUGUGGAAAAGAGAAGAGGGAGGAGGAGAAGUGAAAGGUGGAUAGUGAUGGCCGCUGGAAAAGAAAAAAAUGGUAGUAGAGAGAGAUUGUGUUUCCAAUAUAUAAGAUAUUAUGAUAUAUAUAUAUAUAUAUAUGUAUGUAUGUUUUUACAUAUAUUGAAGGUCAUGUGGGCCCAAGGCCCAUCCCAACACCUGCUCCCUGGAGUUUCAAUCGGGAGAAUUAAAACUCGUCCAUCUAUGGAAUGCAAGCGAGUUGCAGGCCUACUAUCCAUCGCAUAGUUGGCAAGUUGUCGGGUAAACUCUUAUCGAUUUGCUCAGCUUAGCUCAUAAUCUUUUCAUAUCAUUUAUCAUCUCAUCAUCUUUUCAUAUCAUUUAUCAUUACAUUAUCUUUUCAUUUCAUAAUGAUCUUAUUACAUCAUCUUCAUAACAUCACAUUUAAUCUCUUUACAUCACCAUACUCAUUAUCAUCUCACCAUUUAUCAUCACAUCAUAUUUUCAUACCAUCAUGAUCUCAUCACGUCCUCAUCUUCAUGACUAUUACAAUCUAUCUCGUUACAUCUUCAUUAUCAUAUUGUCAUGAUCUCAUCAUCACUGCAUCAUAUUUUUAUAUUAUCAUCAUCAUUAGUUUUGAGAUUAUCCUCAUUAGUUUCGUUAUCAUUAGUUUUGAGAUUAUCCUCAUUAUUUUCGUUAUUGAUAUCAUUAUUGGUAUUUGUUGUUGUAUACUAGUAUUUUUGUUAAUUUAUUUUUAAUAUUUGUCAGAGAUUUUGUGAUGACAGGUUGCUAAGAGAUGUAGUUAUCUCUUCGAAGUUACAAAACUACAGGUUUGAUAUAUAUCAUUUAAUGCUUUUAUCCAAUAUAUAUAUGUCUUUAUAAAAUUAAGAUAUGUUUUGUAAAAAUAUUUGUACUGCUUUUUACAUUCCGUUUUACUACUAUUAUUAGGGGUUUAUCUUGCAAAUAUCUCUUAUAUAUAUAAAAUAUCCUGUCCCUUAUUUGUGAUUUCAGAGAUAAGCUGAAUAAUUAGAGAGAAAUAGGCACAGGGGCUUUUACUAUCAUUUUGGAAAGCAUCCACUCUUCAUUAGAGUUGUUACGUGCACACAUGCCCUCGCAUUGAGUGGGAAGGGGGUGUAACGCCGACGAUGGGUGCCCCUAUCUCUUUAUACUGGGAGCAAAUUGUUGCCAUUACCAUCAAACCGCUUCGUUUAACAUGACAUUUUUUGCGCAAAAGUCCAAAGAAAAUACAAACAAAAACCAACAAUUUUACAGAUCCAAACAAACAAAUGUACAUAUCAGAAAAAUAUAAAAAAUCCAAUGAUAGACAAAAACAAACUCACAACAUUAGAGAAAAAAUGAAACAAAGUAAUAAUUGUGCAUAGACCCAAAGAUGGUGGUAUUGGGUAGUUGAUCUCUACAGCACAUUGUCAUCAUAGUGGACUGUAAAACUUGCAGACUCGUCACUCAUAGUCAUAGUGAGUCUCUACGACACAGACCCACGACGAAAAUUGUGUUAUUAAGUCAUAGAAGCUCAUAGCCAAAUUGUGGUCUUACCGUCGUAAACGGUGGCUUGGCCAUGAGUACCCAAGAUAAUGGAGUGAAUAGACAAGUGGGUUUAAAAGUGGAGGAGAGGAAGGGAAAUUGGGGGAGAAGAACCAAGAGAAAAGACAGGGAUGGUGGCCAUUGAAGCGUGAAAGUUUGAAAAGAAGGUGGAAAAGUGAAGGGGGAGGAGGAGAAGUGAAAGGUGGAGGGUGAUGGCCAUUAGAAAUGAAAGAAAUGGCAGUAGAGAGAGAUUGAGAGAAAAAAGUGGUAUUUGUAGCUAGGGUUUGUGUUUCCAAUAUAUAAGAUAUUAUGAUUUAUAUUUAUAUAUAUAUGUAUGUUUUUACAAAUAUUAAAGGUUGUGUGGGCUUAAGGCCCAUCCCGACACUUGCCCCUUGGACUCUUAAUGGAGAGAAUUAAAGCUCAUCCAUCUGUGGAAUGCAAGCGACUUGCAGGCCUAUUCUCCAUUGCAUAGUUGGCAAGUUGUCAGGUAAACUCUUACUGAUUUGUUCGGCUUAGCUUAUAAUCUUUUCAAAUCAUUUAUCAUCUCAUCAUCCUUUCAUAUCAUUUAUCAUUACAUUAUCUUUUCAUUUCAUCAUGAUCUCAUUACAUCAUCUUCAUAACAUCACAUUUAGUCUCUUUACAUCACCAUACUCAUCAUCAUCUCACAAUUUAUCAUCACAUCUUAUUUUCAUACCAUAAUGAUCACAUCACAUCCUCAUCUUCAUGACUACCACGAUCUAUCUCAUUAGAUCUUCAUCUUCAUAUUAUGAUAAUCUCAUCACAUCAUCAUUGCAUCAUAUUUUCGUAUUAUCAUCAUCAUUAGUUUUGAGAUCAUUCUCGUUAGUUUCGUUAUUGUUAUCAUUAUUGGUAUUUGUUGUUAUAUAUUUUUGUUAAUUGAUUUUUAAUAUUUGCCAGAGAUUUUGUGAUGGCAGGUUGUUCAGAGAUGUAGUUAUCUUCUCGAAGUUACAAAACUAAAGGUUUGAUAUAUACCAUUUAUUGCAUUUAUCCAUAUACGUAUUUAUAAAAUUAUGAUAUGUUUUGUGCAAAUAUUUGUAUUAUUUUUUGCAUUCCGUUUUACUACUAUUAUUAGGUGUUUAUCUUGCAAAUAUCUUUUAUACAUAAACUAUGUUGUCCCUUAUUUGUGAUUUGAGAGAUAGGCUGAAUAAUUAGAGAGAAAUAAGCACAAGGGGGCUUUUAUUAUUUUGGAAAGCAUCCACUUUUCGUUAGAGUUGUUACGUGCACACAUGCCCUCGCAUGGAGCGGGAAGGGCGCUUAACAGUGACGCUGGGUGCCCCAAUCUUGAUAUCGGGAGCAAAUUGGUGCCACCAUCAUCAAACCAGUCCCCGUUCAACACAACAUUUUUUGCGAAAAAGUCCAAGCAAAAACCAACAAUCUUAUAGAUCCAAACAAACAAACGUACAGAUCAGAAAAAUAUCACAAAUCUAAUGAAAAAUAAAAUCAAACUCACAAAAUUAGAGAUAAAACGAAACAAAGAAAUGGUAAUCGUGCACAGACCGCAAGGUCGUGGUAUUGGGUAGCUGAUCUCUACAGCCCAUCGUCAUUAUAGUGGUCUAUUAAACUUGCAGACUCAUCACUCAUAGUCACAAUGAGUCUCUACCAUACAUACCAACGACGAAAGUUGUGUUUUCAAGUCGUACAAGCCCCCGGUAAAAUUGUGGUCUUACCCUCGUAGAUUGCGGCUUGGCCAUGAGUACCCUUGAUAGUGGAGUGAAUAGACAAGGGGGUUCAAAACCGGAUGAGAGGAAGGGAAAUUGGGAGGAGAAGAAAAAAGAGGGAAAACAGGAUGGGGGCCAUUAGAGCGUGAAAGUCUGAAACGAAUGUGGAAAAGAGAAGGGGGAGGAGGAGAAGUGAAAGGUGGAGGGUGAUGGUCGUUUGAAAUGAAAGAAAUGGCAGUAUAGAGAGAUUGAGUGAAAUAGUGGUAUUUGUAGUUAGCAUUUGUGUUUCCAAUAUAUAAGAUAUUAUGAUAUAUAUAUCUAUAUAUAUGCAUACAUAUAUAUGUAUGUUUUUACAUAUAUUAAUGGCCAUGUGGGAGCAAGGCCCAUCCCAAAACCCGCCCCCAGGACUUUCAAUUGGGAGAAUUAAAGCUCGUCCAUCUGUUGGAUGCAAGCGCGUUGCAAGCCUACUCUCCAUCACAUAGUUGACAAGUUGUCAGGUAAACUCUUACCGAUUUGCUCGACUUACCUUAUAAUCUUUUCAUAUCAUUUAUCAUCUCAUCAUCUUUUCAUAUCAUUUAUCAUUACCUUAUCUUUUCAUUUCGUCAUGAUCUCAUUACAUCAUCUACAUAACAUCACAUUUAGUGUCUUUACAUCACCAUACUCAUCAUCAUCUCACCAUUUAUCAUCACAUCUUAUUUUCAUACCAUCAUGAUCACAUCACAUCCUCAUCUUCAUGACUAUUAUGAUCUAUCUUGUUAGAUCUUCAUCUUCAUAUUAUGAUAUCUCAUCACGUCAUCAUUGCAUUAUAUUUUCAUAUUAUCAUCAUCAUUAGUUUUGAAAUCAUCCUCGUUAGUUUCGUUGGUAUUAUCGUUAUUGGUAUUUGUUGUUGUAUAUUUCUUUUAAUUGAUUUUUAAUAUUUGCUAGAGAUUUUGUGAUGGCAAGUUGUUCAGAGUUGUAGUUAUCUCCUCAAAGUUACAAAACUAUAGGUUUGUUAUAUAACAUUUAUUGCUUUUAUCCAAUAUACGUAUUUAUAACAUUAAGAUAUGUUUUGUAAAGAUAUUUGUAUUGUUUUUUGCAUUCCGUUUUGCUACUAUUAUAUGGAGUUUAUCUUGCAAAUAACUUUUAUACAUAAACAAUGUUGUCCCUUGUUUGUGAUUUGAGAGAUAGGCUGAAUAAUUAGAGUGAAAUAGGCACAAGGGCUUUUAGUAUUUUGGAAAGUAUCCACUCUUCGUUGGAUUUGUUACGUACACACAUGCCCUUGCAUGGAUCGAGAAGGGGCCUUAAUGGCGACGUUGGGUGCCCCUAUCUUGAUACCAGUAGCAAAUUGGUGCCACUAUCAUCAAACCACCCCCCGUUCAACAUGACAUUUGUUUUGCAAAAAAGUCCAAACAAAAACCAAAAAUCUUAUAGAUCCAAACAAACAAGCCCAAAAAAUUAACGAGCCCAAAAAAUUUUGUUUGGUGGCGUCCAAGUUCCCCGCAUGGAAGCAAGGCGACAUCAUCCGAAUACCACCAAGAGCAACAAUGUGCGUAGCACUGGGUGCCAUAACACCAUCCGCCGUGCACAAUCAUGCUGCAAGGAAGCACCCUAACGAAGAGGACCAACCGCAAUGAAGUCAACUAGAGCCCCGGGGGGCUCGAAAACGUGAGAAAGCCCCUUACAUCAACUAUUGCCCCGCAUCAACAAGCCCAUGCGUGGCUCGUAGUGCCACCAUAUCCUUCCCUAGGCUAUAAUCUUGUUGCGUGAGAGCAAACGAGGACGUAAGAAUCACCCCUUAAAAAUUUUGUUUGGUGACGUCCAAGUUCCCCCCAU